GGGCUGCAGUGAGGAAUUUUGCGCAAUGGGGGCAACCCUGACGCAGCAACGCCGCGUGAGUGAAGAAGGCUUUCGAGUCGUAAAGCUCUGUCUAGCGGGAAGAACCUCCUUGGGACGAAUACUUCCAAGGACUGACGGUACCGCUGAAGGAAGCACCGGCUAACUCCGUGCCAGCAGCCGCGGUAAUACGGAGGGUGCAAGCGUUAUUCGGAAUCAUUGGGCGUAAAGCGCGUGUAGGCGGCUUGAUAAGUCAGAUGUGAAAUCUCCGGGCUUAACCCGGAAAGUGCAUUUGAAACUGUCAAGCUUGAGUCCGGGAGAGGAAAGUGGAAUUCCCAGUGUAGAGGUGAAAUUCGUAGAUAUUGGGAGGAACAUCGGUGGCGAAGGCGACUUUCUGGACCGAGACUGACGCUGAGACGCGAAAGCGUGGGGAGCAAACAGGAUUAGAUACCCCAGUAGUC
RNAcentral lists this ribosomal RNA (458 nucleotides) under uncultured microorganism. RNAcentral describes it as "bacterial SSU rRNA". It matches the Rfam family "Bacterial small subunit ribosomal RNA", at positions 346 to 795 of the family's 1533-position model. The record is from RNAcentral.